This 388-nucleotide ribosomal RNA is filed under the name uncultured eukaryote. Its description in RNAcentral is "bacterial SSU rRNA". It matches the Rfam family "Eukaryotic small subunit ribosomal RNA", at positions 594 to 945 of the family's 1831-position model. The record is from RNAcentral.
AUAGCGUAUAUUAAAGUUGUUGCAGUUAAAAAGCUCGUAGUUGGAUGUCGGAGUUCCUUUGUAAUAGCUGUGCGGUCGAAGGGUAGUGGGGGCAACUCUGCUGCUCGGCGUACUGUUGGCGGGACUCAUUUUAUACUUUCUUGAAGACUACCCGUGCUCUUCACUGAGUGGCGGGGUUUGGGAUUCGAGACAUUUACUUUGAAAAAAUUAGAGUGUUCAAAGCAGGCUUUCUGACGCUUGAAUACAUUAGCAUGGAAUAAUGGAAUAGGACUUUGGUCUUAUUUUGUUGGUUUCUAGGACCGAAGUAAUGAUUAAUAGGGGCAGUUGGGGGCAUUAGUAUUUAAUUGUCAGAGGUGAAAUUCUUGGAUUUAUGAAAGACUAACUUCUG